Long non-coding RNA from Etheostoma spectabile (orangethroat darter), 101 nucleotides. RefSeq lists it as uncharacterized. Lineage: Eukaryota; Metazoa; Chordata; Actinopteri; Perciformes; Percidae. The record is from RefSeq and is a predicted model, not a curated record. The transcript has 3 exons.
CUUCAUGGUUAAUUUCCUGAGCAAGAUUAUAUCUUCUGCUUACUUUUAAGGCAAAGAGUACAACUGUUAAUUUGUGCAAGUGAUUAUAACUGUUUACUUUU